RNAcentral lists this ribosomal RNA (250 nucleotides) under uncultured bacterium. RNAcentral's name for it is "partial 16S ribosomal RNA". It matches the Rfam family "Bacterial small subunit ribosomal RNA", at positions 28 to 277 of the family's 1533-position model. The record is from RNAcentral.
GAUGAACGCUAGCGGCAGGCCUAAUACAUGCAAGUCGAGGGAGAUUUUCGGGUUCGCCCGAAUUGAAACCGGCGCACGGGUGCGUAACACGUAUGCAACCUACCCUUAACUGGGGCAUAGCUCAGAGAAAUCUGAAUUAAUUCCCCAUAACACUGCACUGUGGCAUCACAGAGCAUUUAAAGUUCCGACGGUUAAGGAUGGGCAUGCGUUGCAUUAGCUAGUUGGUGAGGUAAUGGCUCACCAAGGCUAC